Molecule: ribosomal RNA, 482 nt
Filed under: uncultured bacterium
Lineage: Bacteria
Description: partial 16S ribosomal RNA
Rfam family: Bacterial small subunit ribosomal RNA
Source: RNAcentral
AUUGAACGCUGGCGGCAUGCUUUACACAUGCAAGUCGAACGGUAACAGGCCGCAAGGUGCUGACGAGUGGCGAACGGGUGAGUAAUGCAUCGGAACGUGCCCAGUCGUGGGGGAUAACUACUCGAAAGAGUAGCUAAUACCGCAUACGAUCUAUGGAUGAAAGCGGGGGACCGUAAGGCCUCGCGCGAUUGGAGCGGCCGAUGUCAGAUUAGGUAGUUGGUGGGGUAAAGGCUCACCAAGCCAACGAUCUGUAGCUGGUCUGAGAGGACGACCAGCCACACUGGGACUGAGACACGGCCCAGACUCCUACGGGAGGCAGCAGUGGGGAAUUUUGGACAAUGGGCGCAAGCCUGAUCCAGCAAUGCCGCGUGCAGGAAGAAGGCCUUCGGGUCGUAAAAUGCUUUUGUACGGAACGAAACGGCUCUGGUUAAUACCCGGGGCUAAUGACGGUACCGGAAGAAUAAGCACCGGCUAACUACGUG